UGGGGAAUAUUGCGCAAUGGGCGAAAGCCUGACGCAGCAACGCCGCGUGAGGGAUGACGGCCUUCGGGUUGUAAACCUCUUUCAGCAGGGACGAAGCGAAAGUGACUGUACCUGCAGAAGAAGCGCCGGCUAACUACGUGCCAGCAGCCGCGGUAAUACGUAGGGCGCAAGCGUUGUCCGGAUUUAUUGGGCGUAAAGAGUUCGUAGGCGGUCUGUCGCGUCGGAAGUGAAAACCCGGAGCUCAACUCCGGGCCUGCUUUCGAUACGGGCAGACUUGAGUGUUGCAGGGGAGACUGGAAUUCCUGGUGUAGCGGUGGAAUGCGCAGAUAUCAGGAGGAACACCGGUGGCGAAGGCGGGUCUCUGGGCAACAACUGACGCUGAGGAACGAAAGCGUGGGGAGCGAACA
RNAcentral lists this ribosomal RNA (407 nucleotides) under uncultured Actinomycetales bacterium. RNAcentral's name for it is "partial 16S ribosomal RNA". It matches the Rfam family "Bacterial small subunit ribosomal RNA", at positions 355 to 774 of the family's 1533-position model. The record is from RNAcentral. Lineage: Bacteria; Bacillati; Actinomycetota; Actinomycetes; Actinomycetales.